This 253-nucleotide ribosomal RNA is filed under the name uncultured bacterium. Its description in RNAcentral is "partial 16S ribosomal RNA". It matches the Rfam family "Bacterial small subunit ribosomal RNA", at positions 524 to 776 of the family's 1533-position model. The record is from RNAcentral.
UACGGAGGAUCCAAGCGUUAUCCGGAUUUAUUGGGUUUAAAGGGUGCGUAGGUGGGAUGAUAAGUCAGAGGUGAAAGCUAGCAGCUUAACUGUUAAAUUGCCUUUGAUACUGUUAUUCUUGAGUGUAGUUGGCGUUGGCGGAAUGUGACAUGUAGCGGUGAAAUGCGUAGAUAUGUCACAGAACACCGAUCGCGAAGGCAGCUAACGAAGCUAUCACUGACACUGAUGCACGAAAGCGUGGGGAGCAAACAGG